RNAcentral lists this ribosomal RNA (495 nucleotides) under uncultured bacterium. RNAcentral describes it as "bacterial SSU rRNA". It matches the Rfam family "Bacterial small subunit ribosomal RNA", at positions 16 to 507 of the family's 1533-position model. The record is from RNAcentral.
AUCCUGGCUCAGGAUGAACGCUAGCGGCAGGCCUAAUACAUGCAAGUCGAACGAUACCAGAGAGCUUGCUUUCUGGGAAAGUGGCGCACGGGUGCGUAACGCGUAUGCAACCUACCUUAAUCAGGGGGGAUAGCCUCUCGAAAGAGAGAUUAACACCGCAUAAAAUCACACUUCGGCAUCGAAGAAUGAUCAAAUAUUUAUAGGAUUAAGAUGGGCAUGCGUGACAUUAGCUAGUUGGUAAGGUAACGGCUUACCAAGGCUACGAUGUCUAGGGGAUCUGAGAGGAUGACCCCCCACACUGGUACUGAGACACGGACCAGACUCCUACGGGAGGCAGCAGUAAGGAAUAUUGGUCAAUGGGGGCAACCCUGAACCAGCCAUGCCGCGUGCAGGAAGACGGCCCUACGGGUUGUAAACUGCUUUUAUACGGGAAUAAAUCUCGCUACGUGUAGUGAGUUGAAUGUACUGUAAGAAUAAGGAUCGGCUAACUCCGUG